AACGAACGCUGGCGGCAUGCCUAACACAUGCAAGUCGAACGAGACCUUCGGGUCUAGUGGCGCACGGGUGCGUAACGCGUGGGAACCUGCCCUUAGGUUCGGAAUAAUUCCCCGAAAGGGGUGCUAAUACCGGAUAAUGUCUUCGGACCAAAGAUUUAUCGCCUUUGGAUGGGCCCGCGUUGGUUUAGCUAGUUGGUAGGGUAAAAGCCUACCAAGGCGAGGAUCCAUAGCUGGUAUGAGAGGAUGCGCAGCCACACUGGGACUGAGACACGGCCCAGACUCCUACGGGAGGCAGCAGUGGGUAAUAUUGGACUAUGGGCGAAAGCCUGAUCCAGCAAUGCCGCGUGAGUGAUGAAGGCCUUAGAGUUGUGAAGCUCUUUUACCCGGGAUUAUAAUGACAGUACCGAGAGAAUAAGCACCGGCUAACUCCGUG
This 433-nucleotide ribosomal RNA is filed under the name uncultured bacterium. RNAcentral's name for it is "partial 16S ribosomal RNA". It matches the Rfam family "Bacterial small subunit ribosomal RNA", at positions 29 to 507 of the family's 1533-position model. The record is from RNAcentral.